Molecule: long non-coding RNA, 663 nt
Filed under: Setaria italica (foxtail millet)
Lineage: Eukaryota; Viridiplantae; Streptophyta; Magnoliopsida; Poales; Poaceae
Description: long non-coding RNA (SITA_LNC000730)
Source: RNAcentral
UGAGGCUCAGUCUUGCCGAGGUGGUCGUUCUUCACAGGGUACUAGUGGUACUGGUGGUUUUGGUUCUGGAGGUCCUUAGAGGAGUUCUGUUAGUUCUGAGACACAGGAGAUCAUCAGGUUGCUCGGUCACCUUGUCUCCUCUACACCAUCAGGAGCUGCGGGUUCUGUAACUCAGCCUUCUGCACCUACAAGUUCUGCUGUUGCUUUUCAAUCUUCCACUCUGGGACCAUCUUCCAUGUCUACUCCAGGUAUUUGUCAUGGAUUCUUGAUUUUGGUGCUUCGUUUCAUAUGACUCCUUAUUGCACCUGUCUUUCUUCCAUACGUUCUCCAUCUGAUUCUCCCACUGUUCAUAUAGUCGAUGGUUCUUCUCUUCUUGUUGUAGGACAUGGCACUCUCCUAUCUGACUCUUUUCAUGUCCCUGAUAUUUCUUAUGUUCCUGAUCCGACCAUGCAGCUCAUGUCCGCUGGCCAGCUCACUAAUCAUGAUUGUCAUGUUAUUCUUGAUUCUAAUUUUUGUUAUGUUCAGGAUCAUCGCACGGGUCAGUUGGUUGGUACUGGCCCUCGUCGUUGUGAUUCCCAGCGUCUUUGGGAGCUUGACUAGUUUCAUCUUCUUUCCGCUGUGCCCGUCAGUCUAGUUGGCUCCGCUUUGGCUGCUUCGUCGACC